AAGAAAAUAAAAUUGCAAUAAAAUUCAAAAGAAAGCCCUGAGAAGCGGGUUUUUAUAUUCUUUUUUUCUAUUUAUAUUUAACAGGGGGGUUGGAUGGCUGAUCUUCCAUAGAUUAUUAUUCCUCAAAUUCAUGCAUGUGGUCUAAGAGGUAGUUGGCAGCCAACUCUUCAUUCUUGUUGCAGGCAAAGAACACCUCCAAUACAAUUGCUCGAUCAAAUCCCAUUGCUUCAAGCUGGCAAGGAUAAACAAAUCAUCAAUAAGAACGAAAAUUGUCCGCUCAAAGAACAACAGGAAUAAAUCAUAGAAAGUUAGAACUCUUACAACCACAGAAACCACGAGUCCCUUACGCAAAGAGUGGAUUAAAAAUAGCCACAAUAAGCAAACUAAAACUUUCAAGGUCCAAUACACACAACUCCUUAAGGUAAUCAGUUGUUGGCAAGAAUUAAAACACAUAUGUAAUGCAAUUGUGCAAAGCAUAACACUGAUACCAUAACCAUAAAGCUAAAUCAGUUCAUGAAAAUCACUGUUUUAAAUCAGUAAUGAUUGGACCAAAACUGAAGACUUUUAAACCCUCGAGACUAAUGAUUGCACAUUCAUCAAUUUUUCUAGAUCUCUCCCUUCCUUCUCAUUUUUCAGAUACUUCCAAGUGUAUUUGGUUAAAUGAAAAUCACAAAUAAACUUUUUCACUCAAUGAAUUUGUAAUAAAUUUUGUUCAAUUAGGUGAUUAAAGGCAGUGUUUCCUGUUUUCAUCUUAAAAGUAUUCUUCAAAUCAAGUUCAAAUUUUUUAUUUCACAUGAUUUUAGCUACAUUUCAUGUGCAUUGCACGUAUUAAAUAUAGUGUUUAUAUAAAAAAGGGAGAACUUACACGUUCUAUAGCUUCACGCUCCUCAGGAGUAACACUUAUUGACUGCGGCACUGCUGCAUCGCCCAAUAUGUUCCUGAAACAAAGAGACAAAUGAGCAAGAUAAACAUGCAUAAUCAUGUAUCAUACAUGUAACCAACAACAAACCCCAAAGACUAAAAGAGUACAUAAAAGGUAAGAUAAUAAACUCCUUACCCUUCUCCACCUUCUACAGGUUCAUUAAUCAGGCGAAGGAAGUCAGCCUGAUGCUGUUGAAUUAGCCUCAUAAGAUUAGGAUUUUGUUUCCCCAACUCUUGAAGCAUAGGCUGUAACAAAAAUUGAAGAAUUAUCGCCAAAAGAACAGGGUGACCAAACAACAUUUGGGUUGGGAAGAAGUACCUGCAAUAUUUGUGGAUUAGCCUGCACCAUAGCUCGCAAGGCUUGGAACUGAGACCAACACCACCAAAUCGAGAGUUAAAAAAACCACAAUGUUUAAAUGUGGGUUCAUUCAUACAUUAAUGCACACACAUGCAAAUGCAAACAUAAAUAGAGAGAGGGAGAUAAAUGACCUGUUGGCUGUCACGCAGAAAAUCAAGAUUGCCUGCACCAGCACCACCAGCACCCACAUUUGGAAGACCCUGUUUCCAUGAAGGCAUGUGUAUCACUGAAAAAUUCUUCCACCAUAAUUAAUCACAGGUGCUGCAUGAUAAGUACCUGGGGAAAAAGGUUUAAAGGAUUGGCAUUAGGUCCGCUUGGAGGAGUGGAUGCUGGUUGUGCUGAUUGUGGAGAUUGUGCUGGAAGGUUUGCAGCUUCCCCACUCACAGGAAUAUGGGCUACAGGUGGAACUUCGGGUUGCUCAGGGAUACCCUUCAAGAAAUACCAAAUUGGCAUCAAAAGGAAAAGACAACAAUAAUCAAAGAGCAGGGAUAACCACUGCUUUUUGGUUCUGAAAAUCACUACUGUUAUCAACUCUUUUUUCUACAAUACUACUCAACAUUGUUACCAUUGUUGAAAAUUUGAUAGAGAACCAUGAUGUAGAAGAUAUAUAACUAAGAGAGUAGAGCAAGUCCUGAAUUUUUCAAUAUAAUAUCUCCACUUACAGAAUAAAGAUAGUCAAUAGCUCUCGCUGGGUUGUUGAAAGCAGCACGAAGAGCACGUACAACAGUAUCCCUGUCCCAAGUACCUCCACCCAUAUCCAGAAUUUGCUGAAUUGUUCCCUCCAAGUUAGUUCCAGCUACCAGAUCAGAUGCUGCUUGGCCGUAGGGAUUAGAUUCUACCCUGCUUUAACAAUUCCACAGAAUUGUAUUAGGAAAGAAAAGAAUAUAUAAAGCCAGUGAUGAACUUAAUGAGGAAGGGGCGGGGGACAUUGGCUACAGAUCUAAAACUGAAAGCAUCAACGGAAGGAACAAAAUUACUCACUCCAUGGUAGCUGAAGAGACAGGAGCAGGUGUGGUAACCGAAGCAGGCCUGAGAAAUCAAGAAACAUUACAAACAGAACAUGUAUAAUGAAAUAUGAAUAUCAUAUUUUUGGAAAAACUAAAACUUAUACAAAACAAGACUCACGAUGCUGAGGUUGGUAUUGGAGCCUGAGGUGCCGUUAAUGUCACAGUUGGAGCAGCAGAAGGUGCACUUGGCUGUGGUGCCUGCACAAAAAACAACACUCAGUAACUACAGUCACAGCCCAACAUAAAAAGAUUAUAAAAAAAAGCUUUAGUUCGUCCACAGACGUGCAUGCAAAUAGAUCUGGGUUACUGCUUGUUUAGUUCCUUAAGUCUGUGUAGAAGGUUUUCUCUUUUUAUAAUCCCAGGCUCAUAAUUUUUCUUCUAAAGUCAAACAAGGAAAUCAAAGUAUAUACACACACUAACUCUACGUUUAACAGUACCUCAGGUCUAACGGAACUAAUAUGUAACAGAAGUAAUCCAACGUGUAUUGAACGAAAAACUAAUUAUAAAGAUAAAUUGUGAAGAAUGGAAUUUAACAUAAGACUAUAGAUGAAUCCCAAGAAUUUGAACCAAAGCAUGUGGUAAACUCCACGCAACUUCCACAGAGAAAACAAAUCACAGAAAACAAUGAAAAAGAAUAUGUGUCUUACCUUAGUUAUAGUCGCAGUUGAUGCACCUGAACCUUCACCAAGCGAGCUCUUACUCUAGCAUUGUUAGGUAUAUAAAGUAAGUCAAAACAACUUGUCAUCAUUCUAAACUGACAAAGAAGAGAAGAUUGAGCAACAUUAUCUGGUGGGAGAAGGAAUUUCAACACCACAAAUAGUUGGCAUAAAUCAGAUGCGAACGAAAUAGGGGUAUCAAAACGACAUCACCAACUUCAAGUAAAACAAAUUUUACAUUAGGGAAUGACAGGAGUUGGGCAUAAACUAGACGUGAAUAAACAGGAAAUUCACAAUACAAGAAUAAGACAUUAGCGCCAAAUAGAAAUUUCAAAAGAAAUGAAUGCCAUACAAUAAUUUCCAUUUCCAUGAUGGAUGUUUAGCAAGACAUUAGCUAUAAUACAAGCAUAAUUACUGUCUCUAAUUUAUUAUUUAAUGGAAAAUGUAGCACUCUAAACUAUCGAAUACAAAAAUUAUAAUACCUUAGUCAACAUUAUCACAACAAAGCUGUUUUCAGCAACUUUGUUUUCGUCCAAUGUUGUGCUAUCUUUAAGUACUUUUCCUUGAUGAAUUAGCAUCUGUUGUGAAGCAGGAUAUACAUCUGAACCUUGACUAGUUUCUAUCUGUUUCUUCACAUCAGAAACCUGGAAAGAAUAGUGGUUUUUUGUGAAUAAUGUAAUUUGGAUAAAGUAGCCAGUAAUUAUUGCAAGUAAAUUUAUAAGCACACCCAACCACAUUUCCUGCAUAAAGAAAACUGAAUGUACUCAAUAAUGAAGCAAAGUCUGACAUACCAUAGAGCUUGAAAAUUGCGAUAAACAAAGAAACGAAAGAAAAAAAAUGAACGAGUAAUUUAACAAGGAAAGCGUAAAUUCCUAAAUUCCAAUUCCACCAUAAACCAAAAAUACUCACAAGUGUUAGAAGCAAAAACCUAAGUCCAAUUAACGUACACAAGCCAAAAACAGAAAAACCUGUUAAAGCUUGCACAUUAAGUCUUUACCAGAUUGCGAAACAAAUAGAAAAUCGACACCAAAACUCUAGAAAACACUUCAAUUACGAUCAUAAUGCGCGAUUGAAUUUUUUUUUUCAAAAACACACGUAACUAAAAAAAUGAAAGAAUUCAAAACGACUGAGGCUAACCGUGUCCUCAGGCUUCACUGCGACGUCGAAGUGAGUGCCCUUGAGAGUCUUGACAAAAAUCUUCAUCUUCUGCUAGUCGGAGAAUCGCCGUCUCUACAGUCUCGAAGGCUGUGAUCUGCUGAAAAGGUUUAAAGAAAGAAGCCGAAUGCGCAAGUAAAGUGAGGCAAGACUAAAUAAAGAAAAGAAAAACAAAGCCCAAAUUUGCUGGCUUAAAUACGAGGGCUAGCGGCUCACAUGUAUACGCGCUAAGGAGAAGGCGAGAUACACAGAAUGAAAACUGCGUUGGGUUUAAGAUGAGCGGUGCAGAUGGCAGCUUGUAGUUUGCGUUUGUUAAGGGAGCGCGUGGCUUGUGUAGGUGACUGGUGAAUAUUGCGAGAUUUUUGCGUCUGAUAAGAGCAUCUCCAAGGGAAGAGCAUCUUUGUGAUUGACUCCUGCACCGCCGAUGUGGACCCUUCCAAAAGCUCGAGAAUACCACUGUCAGCAAACCACGUAAGUAUCCCAAGUCAAUAAAAUGUCGACAGCUGGCAACUAAUUUUACUUCCAAUUUUAAAUAUUAAAAAAAUGUUCUGAAUCCAUUGUCUCUUCUCUCUCUUUCGCAUCCCUCUCUCUCAUCCAUUAAUCUAUCUCUUCCAAUCACUCCCCCACCAUCAUCAGCACCCACACGCGCCUGCAUUCGCUCCUCUUUUUCAAUUCAAUCACUCAGCCCAAAUAAUCAAUUUGUUUUUCAAUUUAAAAUUUUACAAAGUAAUUUCACCCAUGUUCUUUCUCUUCUCUCUCUCUCUCCCCCAUUCCUCAGUCCGUAGAAAAAAAAACUUUUUUCUUCUUCUAUUUCUGGUGUUUCACUUCCUCUUCAGUCAAGCAUUGUUUGGGACAUAAUGGUUUGGGACACUUACGUGGUUUGCCUUCAGUGGCCUGUGACAGGGAAGUUAUGCUUGGUUCCUGACAUAGGACGUGGCCUCCUUACAAAAAGACACAUGUUUUCUUUUUUCUUUUUCUUUUUUGUUUUGUUUUUUUGUUUCUUUCAACUCUCUAACCCAAGUCUUGUUGGCUGGUUUUAACUCAAGCCUCCUCAACAGCAAACUCCAACUUUUUUAAACUCUCCAGACCCUUGCUUAUCGCCACUGUCAAUUAGAACCACUGGAUCAUAUUUAGAAAUUAAAAUCAUUUAAGAAAAUAGAAAUCACAAAAACAGAAAAGAAAAGAAAAACAAGAUCACAACUUGGUUUAGAUCUUUCUUCAAACAUGUUGGCUGCAACUUAUAACCAUUUAUUUCACCAAAAUAAAAGCCUAGUUAGCUUACAAGGAGAAAAUAUAAGAUUAUAUUACAAAUAAAAUAGAUGUUUUUAUAUAUUUAUCAACAUAAGUUCAUUACAAGUAGGCUACUUUGAUAAACCAUAUAAACAUAAGAAAUCCACUCAUCGAAAAUGGUUAUGAAAAUCAACCCCCAAUAUGAAGAAUCUGCCAUGUAUAGGAAUUAUGAAGACUAAAAUUCCACAAAUAAAAGAGAAAUUAAGAAAGGGAAAUAUUGUUGUUGGACUAACCAUCCCGAAAGGAAAUAAUCAAAUAGUGGGAGAAGUUUGCUGGAGAUUUACUUUGUCGGUGCCCGGAUGUUUACGUGGACAAUGGAUGAGGGUUUAUGUUGUCGAUGAUCGGAGUUAGGUGGUUGUCAAAAGAAAAGGCCUCUCUGAGAGAAAGAGAGUGACUUGAGUUAAACUAGAACUUGGGGGUUAAAAGAGUUGAAAUAAAAAAAGAUACUAAAAAAAAACUGUGUCUUUUUGUAAAGAGGCCACGUCGUAUGUGGAGGAGGAACGACUUUUGAGGUAUCAGAGCCAAGCAUUGUCCAUUUGUUAAUCUCGUUAAUCAAAUUUAUACGUAAUUCCUUCCAAUUAGAGAGAAUUUUUCGUUGUACCUCCAGAAUUAUGACUCUUGUAUAUAUCUACCAAUGUUGACCACUUUCAACACCAAAUCCUCAUACAUUUUCUUCUCCUUUUAUUAUUUUUCACUUUCUACACAAAAAUUUCUUCAAUUUCAAUUUUCAUUUUUAUUCACCAUCUUAUGGCAUCUUCCAUCAAAGCCGGACGAACUUGGACAACCACGGAAGAUGUUCUAUUGUAUGAGUCUUGGGUCCAAGUUGGUCAUUGUCCGAUCAAGGGCAAUGAGAUGAAAUUCUAUCAUAUGUGGAAAAAAAUUCAUGCGGUAUUUUGUGAAAGAUCAGGUUCGACUAUUACGAAAAUGGCCUUGGGUAGUAGGUGAAAUUUUUUGAACAAAGUGUUGGGGAAAUGGAGAGAUGCGUUAGAAAAGGCGAGGGACAACCAUCAAAGCGGCGAAAAUCUUAGCAAUGAGGUAAAUUAUUUGUAAUUUCUGUUUCAUUAAAUUUAAUGUCCUAAUUUUUUUUUUUCCAUGUUUCUUGCAUUUUCAAUAUUCUUUUUAAUGUUUCUUGCAUUUGCAAUAUUUUGUAAUGUUACUUACAUUUUUCAAUUUUAUUUUUUUAAUAGAUUAUGUAAGCACAAAUGUGGUUCGAUGAUAUUGGGUAAGACAAAAAAUCUUUCAACCAUCGACAAUGUUGGGAGGUGGUGAAAAAUUGCAAACGAUUCAGAAUUAUUCCCACGGGUCCAACCGUUGUGUUGAACGAGAUGUCACUCCAUGAUUCAACGGCAUCGAAUUCGCCUUUGGAUUCACCAAUGAGUCAAGACUCACCAAUUCAAAAGGAGCCGAGGCCUAUUGGUUGAAAGGCGACAAAGGGGAAGAGAGGGAGUACUUCCAACAAUGAUAUUGCAAAAAAUUUAGAGCAAAUUGCAAGGAACGUUACCAUGAGAAUUGAAUUAGACAUGAAAAAAGAUGCGGACGAGAAUGCAAUGAAUGAAGAAUAUGCAAGAGAAAUGGAGUAUGUACGCAAACAAGACAUUGAGAAGAAGGAUCGGGAAACCAUGGCCAUGGAUACAAGCCAUAUGUCCCAUAAAACAAAACAAUUUUGGAAGCUAGAAUGAAGGGAUGUUAUGAGAAGAAGACUUUUAUGUGACAAUGGACCUAGCAACACCGAUUGGUCAAAUGAUCAAAACCAUUAAGUUAGUUUGCUUGCCUUUUAUUUCAUUGUAUUUUAAUAUUCUGUAUUAAAGUAGUUCUAAUUCUUGUCUUUUAUUUAAUUAGUAGUAAUUCUUAAUUAGUUGUAUUGCUUUUUCUUUGAGUGAAUAAAGAAAUCAUUCAAUAAAAUACUUUUUUAUUCAACACAUUGCAUACAUCAAAUAAAACAUAAUUUUAAAAAAAAAAAAACCAAAGCAUAGAAUAAUUUUAAAAAAAAACCACAACUAAAGCAUAAUUAAAAAUAAAACAUCAACACAAAGCAAGGUUAAAACAAAGGAUCUUCACUUUACUUCAUUCACCGCCAUUGUCUCUCACUGCCCAUAAAUGCUCCAUCAAGUCAACUUGACGUCGUUCAUGAAUAUAAGACGAUUGCAUCUUCGUAUAUCGAUCAAUCGUACGGUUCAUGAAACGACCAUCCCUAACCAACGAUUCUUGCUCCACUGGUUGUCCAUUUGGGCCCAUGGGCCUUUCAUAAAUUUUUGUCAAGGCCGUGUUCAUAUGGAGGAUUAUACAAGUCAUCAUAAUGCUCCUCAGCACCUCCUCAUCAAACAUACGUGCAACACCCUUAAUAAUCACUCACCUUACUUUGAGGAUACCAACACACCUUUUGACAUUUUUCCUGUAACCCUCUUGAUAGGCAGAAAAUAAUUUUUCUCUCUCGGAUUAGGGAUGCGAAAUUGAUUUGACAAAUGUGGUCCAUCUCAGGUAGAUGCCGUCUGCUAGAUAAUACCAAUUCCAGUAUACGGUAUUAUUGAUUUCAUAGGUGGUAUUUGGGGCUUCACCUCUCAAGACAUCGUUGAAUACCGGGGAUUGAUCCAACACGUUCAAGUCGUUUUGAGAUCCGGCAACUCCGAAGAAUGCAUGCCAAACUCAUGUAUCGAAUCCAGCAAUGGCUUCGAGGAUGAUACUUUUUUGCCCCUUUCUAUUUCCAUAAUCUCCUUACCAGGCCGUUGGGCAAUUCUUCCAUUGCCAGUACUUACAGUCGAUGCUUCUAAUCAUGCCUGGAAAACCUCGAGUUUUGGCUUUUUGCAGAAGCCUUUGGAGGUCCAUAGGAUUAGGUUUGCAGAGGUUGUCCCUGGUGUAUAGAGUUUCGAUUGCAUCACAGAAUCUGACCAAGGUCUCUAGAGUAGUGGACUUCCUCAUCCUACCAAUCUUAUCCACAUGAUCAGCAGAUGAACCAUACGCCAUCAUUUGUAUAACAUCUAUAAACUUUUGCUCUGGAAGAAGCCCCAAAACCCUAAUAGCAUCACACUUCUGAACGAAGUAUGCAUCGUAAUUGCAAACAUCAUGCAUGACUUUAUUAAACAAAUGAGGUUGCAUUCUAAAUCACCCUCGAAAAUUAUUAUUAUAGUACACAGAAUUUGGGAUAAAGUAAUCUUCCAAAAGAUUCUUAUCCCGAGACAUAUGUCUAUCCUGGUUCGGGCCACGACCGACUUGUGAACCACGGCGGCGGCCUUGGCUUUCUAGAUCUAGCAAACCCACUACCAUAGCAACUUGUUCAUCUUCUUCUUGCUGCACCUCUUUUUCUUCAGCUCGUCUACACCUUCUUUCUUCAAUUUCUCGCUCUUGCCUCUCCAAGCAUCUCCUCAUGUCUGACAUUGAGAAUGGAGCAUGAAAUCUAAAAUCUGAAAAAUGGAAAGAUAGAGAAGAUCAAGUGUGAGAGGUAUGAGCUGAGCCUCUGGUUUUAUGGAGAGAUUUAGAAGAUAAAGAUGAUACGUGGCGUGAUUUUAGAGGGUGAAAAUUUUAUAUGAAAUUUGAAAUUUCAAUCUUAUCAGAAAAUUUUAUCCGAAAAAUUCAUUUGAAUUAUGAGAUAUGAAUUUUAUAAUAAAUAUUGACACAUAGGAACCGAAAAUCUUCUCCAAAUAAAUUGUUUAGGUUUUUAAAAAAAAAAAAAACGAAAAGUGAAUAGUAUUUGCCCUUUGCUAUGGCAAUGGAUGGAAACACACCUUACUUUUUGCAAGGACUACCACUAUUCACAUGAAUAGUAUCUGCCCUUUCCUCCUUUUGCCCUUUGCCAUGGCAAAUGGGUGGAAGUGCUCUUAUAGGGUGGGUGUUCCAAUUAUUCGACAAUUCUACAAGAAAUUAACAUGCAAAAUCACAUUUAAGAGUGCAAAAUAAAAAUCAGGAAAGCAAAGCAGAGGUCAUGAACUUCUUUUCAUCACCUAUUACCUUGCCCAUUGAACCCAGAUUACCGAACCCCUCCAAAACUCAGAUUUUUCGGCGGCACACAGAUUACCCAGUCCCACCCCCAGCAUCCUCCCUCUAAAAGCCAACCGGCGGAGAAGAGACAAGGCUCAUCCAAGCUCAUGUUUUUAGCCUUAAUGUAGGACUGAAUCUCUUGGAGUGAAAUAGACUUCUCGUGAGGCUCAGAAUAGGAAUCAGAAUUGGAGGGGAGGAUAAGGCGGCAGAGAUGGGAGUGGGCAUUGGCGUCAUACUUCAUGUGAAGGGUGAUGGGGCGGCGGGUCUUGGUGCCCGUUUGGGAAUUGAUUAUAAUGAUCGCUCGAUUGGGAAUUGAUUGAUGGGUUGAAGAUUGCUACACUAAAAAAAAUGUAAAUACCAACUCAUAAACCAAUAUGUUCUUGUUACAUGAAGAAGAAAAAGAGUUGUGCAUGGGGUUGGUUUUUUUUUCCUCAUUAUUUUCUUUUUGUUUGAUUGAUUGAUUAUUUAUUUUAAUCAAAAAUACAAGUUUACCCUUAUAGUUAACGAAAAAUUGGAUGAAAUUCACAAAACUUAACUACAAGAGCUAAAUUGGCAAUUUUAAUUAAUUUGGGUGUUAAAUUGGUUGACUUUUUAGUUCGGGUGGUGUACAACAAUUUAUGAAGUUAUUUCACUACAUGACUAGUGAAAUCACCGACCACAUAACAUAACAGAUGAAUUUGUGACACAUGUAGAAAAUGAUGAGAGAAAGAAACAAAGAAAUAAAUAAGAGAGUGUGCGUAUAGGAUGUACGGGCGGCAGGGUGUACUCAGUUAAUUUUGGGAUUCAUUUAGCAGCACUUUUUUUUUAGGGUUAGUAUUGCAGUAGUAUUGUCACAAGUUUUUAUAAAUUUAAAAAAUCCCAAAUUUACCCUAUAUUUUUAAAAAUAUUAAUUUUUAAAAAACUUUACUAAAAAAAAAAAGAAACCUAAAACUCACUUUUAUAGGCUUAAAUACCCUCAAAAUUAAAAUCCACAUAAAAAAAAUUAAGUCGAACUGAAAAAAAAAAAGAAAAAAGAAGAAACAAAGAAGAGAAAUUGAAUGGAAUCCACCAAAAGAAUUAAGGUCAAUAGAGUCUUCACAUCACUUUAGAAAAUCAAACUUGUUUGUAUUAGUUUUACUUCUCAUUUGGUUGAAGGGUGGAACCAAAUUUACGUGUUUUAUCUUUGUAUGGUAAACUAACUGCAUUGACCACUACCAUAACCAAGUUGCAUUAGGAACCUUCCCUGCAUUGUUCAAACUCUUUUCUGCAACAAUUGAUUUGGUUCACAACUCUUCCCGACACCUUCUGAUGUGAACCUUAUCGAAUAUAAACAUACGACAAAUGUUUUAAUAAGGAUAAAUACUUCCCUCCUUACUCAUAAGGAGAAACUCUUCCUUACCUAUUAUUUGUAGCUCAACCACGAAGUGACAUGUAUCAUCUCUUUUUGAAUUAUCAAAACUUUCUUCCUUCUUAUUCACUUUUACUGAAGCCCAAAUGUUUUACCAAAACAAAACAAAGGGCCACAAAGACUUAAAAUUGUAACUGAGUAAGGAAAUUUUUAUUUUUUUUUUGAAUUCACUAUUAUACUCAAUAUAGUAGCCCAAUUUUUUUUUUUUUAAAUCAUAUAUAAAAUGGACUUUAGAAACACACCAAAAGCUCAUUUACAAUAUGAGAAAAAAGCUUUUAACUUCUUUUAAAUUAUAAAACUGUCAUUAAUUUCUUAAAACAAAUCCAACCCAAAAAUCUCAUAAAAAAAACCCAAAACACUCAAUAGGGCAUCAAAGUAAUUUAAUAAUCAAAAUUAAAUUCAAUAGGGACAGUUGUAAUUUUUUGAGUUUUUUUUGAGUUUGUUUAUAUAAAUUAAAUAGUGUAAAAUUUAUUUAUAGUUUUAAGGAUAAUAAUGAGUAUAAGACUAAAUAUCUCUUCUUCUUUUUAAAUGGUUGAGAAAAAUUGAAGUAAAAAUGAAAAGCUAGGGUUCAGUAAAAGUGAAAAAUAAUAAUAAUAAAAACUGUUUUGACAAUUAAAAGAAAGACGCAUGUCACUUUUGUGUUGAGUCACAAUAGAAGACAAGGAGGGAAGUCAUCAGUCUGUAAACAUGAAGAUGGAGAAAGCCAGCCCACCACCAACAGGCAAGUCCUUUGUCCAUGUAAAAAUAUGCAUCUUCUCCUUCAUCCAGAUCAAUGAUUGUUGCUCUACUUCAAUCCCUAUGCUUCCAGACAAAAACGCGGUGAUAAAAAUGACAAGGAAAAGAUGUAUGACUUUGACCCAAAUCAUAACUAGAAAUUGUGCUUGUUAAAAACUUAUUCAUAUUCACAACAUAAGAAAUCGACCGAAAAUAAAAAUAAAAAUCAAUUGCAUGUACCUGAGAAAUGAAAGAUUGGAUUUGGGAAGAAAGUUCUGACUUGACUAGUAAACUAUAGACAAUCCACAUAAUCCAGACUCCAAACUUAUAAAAGGCUAAAUGUGAAAUUCAAAAGAAAGCCAUGAGAAGAGGGUUUUUAUAUUCUUUUUUAUAUUCUUUUUUUAUUUAACAGGGGUUUGGACGGCUGAUAUUCCAUAGAUUAUUCCUCAAAUUCAUGCAUGUGGUCUAAGAGGUAGUUGGCAGCCAACUCUUCGUUCUUGUUGCAGGCAAAGAAAACCUCCAAUACAAUUGCUCGAUCAAAUCCCAUUG
This 12009-nucleotide long non-coding RNA is filed under the name Prunus persica (peach). RNAcentral describes it as "long non-coding RNA (PPER_LNC001346)". Lineage: Eukaryota; Viridiplantae; Streptophyta; Magnoliopsida; Rosales; Rosaceae. The record is from RNAcentral.